Molecule: long non-coding RNA, 251 nt
Organism: Melanotaenia boesemani (Boeseman's rainbowfish)
Lineage: Eukaryota; Metazoa; Chordata; Actinopteri; Atheriniformes; Melanotaeniidae
Exons: 3
Source: RefSeq, a predicted model, not a curated record
ACCUGGGCAUGAUGAAAAGGUGCUCCAAACCCUCUGCUGCACAAGGACACAAACAGACAAAACAAAGCCCACUAUACAGCUGCUAUCCAGUGGGACUUCGUUAGCUUGUGCUCGCAGCCUCCCGGUGGAGAUUCCAGAUCUGGAUCACUUCACUCCUGCCGACGAGCCCACUGCCGAGGACCAGAUUCAACAACCCUGAGACACCUUCUUAUGUACAAUAAAGUCUUAUUCAUCCGAUCCCAAGGUCUCUG